Molecule: long non-coding RNA, 817 nt
Organism: Gavialis gangeticus (Gharial)
Lineage: Eukaryota; Metazoa; Chordata; Crocodylia; Gavialidae
Exons: 3
Source: RefSeq, a predicted model, not a curated record
CUAAAUAUCAGGUAAAAAAAUGCUUUUUUUAAAAUUUAAUUUGGAGGAGAAUACCCAUAACAGCCAUGUCAUCAACCUGAAAACAUCUUUUACCCAGCAAGGACGCUCCAGCAGAGAUUGCAUCUUUGAACAAUCCACCCGAGUACCCUGCACAAGCCUACUGUAAUAAAGAAAGCAAGCCCUUUAUCAUCACACACCAACUCACACUAGAAUCUGCCAGAAAGAUCAGCAAACAGUGACAGGAUCUAUUUGAAGAAGAUAUUCCCAGCCCUCCUCUACUCCUGCCUUAUGAACAACUUCCCAGCCUCGUUCAAUUCAUCAUCAGACGCAAACUCCUUGCUGAUCAACAAACACCAAAUGGAAUAAAACCCUGCUUAAAUACCAGUGCAAAACCUGAAUCAACUCUCAGCCACUUGACUCUUCUGCCACCACCAGCACCCAUGCUGCCUGCCCCCCUGACACUGCUUGCCUUGCUGCAGUAGUGGGGGGAAAUUAAAUUAAGAAAACCCUCCAAAAUGAGAUACUAUACAUGGAAAAUACAUUCUCUAUUCUUAUACUGCUUCCUAGUCAUUUGUUCAUGUUUCCACUUCUUGUAAGCUUCCUUUUUGUGUUUUAGCUCAUGGAAGAGUUCCCUGCUAAGCCAAGCUGGUAUUCUGUGGAUAAGGAGACAGCAGUGAAUAUGAUAUACCUUGACUUUAGCAAUGCUUUUGAUAUGGCCCCCCCACAACAUUCUUGCAAACAAGCUAAGGAAGUAUGGUUUGAAUGAAGGGACUGUAAGGAGGAUAGAAACUUGGCUGGAUUAUUUUCAGACCUGGCU